Lolium perenne is the source of this 1524-nucleotide non-coding RNA. Lineage: Eukaryota; Viridiplantae; Streptophyta; Magnoliopsida; Poales; Poaceae. The record is from RefSeq and is a predicted model, not a curated record.
UCAUAAUUGAAAAGUUUGUAGUCUGGAUGCAAAUUCCUGGAUAUUCGUGUAUUUCUAUCUAAGUUCACAUACACACUUUAACUCUUAAAUCAUGCGCUCAGUUUGGGACUGGUUUAAUCUAUGAACACACAGGUCACAUGGUUAGUGAUACGCAUGUUUAACACGACGUCACGCGGUGGCGGGAUGGGUCAUCGUCGAGGAUGUCGGCCACCGCUACUGCGCUGAACGAACCCCCGAUGCCGCCCCCUCCUGAUGUAGCCGCCGCCGCUUCCGUGGCUUCCCAUGUCAGCCCCUUCUGGCUCACACGACCUCCCUCACACAGCUGCCUCCCCGGCCGCCGCAUCCAUCAUACGUGGCCGCCAGUGAUGAGCGGUAGGCCGAAGUCUGGGCGCCGGUGUUCAUUUGUCAACCUAUAUGGAAGCACAUUUGUGUAGCAUGAAUUAGUUGGAACUGUAUGCAGACCGUAGGCCAAUUAUGGUAAGUUCCACGUGAGUUUCAGGUCCCACGAAGGAGGCACACCACCACCACUGGGUUGUGUGUCGGCUCCGUCUCUUCACUCUUUCUGUCGCUGAUGCAUUAGGUAGUUUUUAAUUAUCUUUUCUCCUCAUAAAUGAUUGAUUUAUCUGUUUGUUUCCUUCCAUUCGUUCUCUAGGUGGAUUCGAUGUGGUAUAGAAUAGGGUGGGAGAGGAACACACCGAGUGAGUUAAUUUGCGGUUCUCUCCUCCACUAGCUUCUCUAAUAAAUGUUCAGUUGUCAGUGCGUUGUUCAUCUCAUGGAAUUUUCAAGCUCAGUUUCUUGUUUCAAGCGAUUUAUCUUACUGAAUUUUGCAUUGAGAAAUCUUUAGGUGUGUGGGGAAGAGAGGAUUCAGGUUACACCACCGUUCGGCUAAUGUCGUUUCAAAACUUUCUUUUGCUGGGGCACACUGCUCCGUCAUCCUCGUCUUUGCUUUGUCUACUACUUCAGAAAAUGAUUGUGCAUCUUUCAUUGCUCUGCUAAAUUCCAAGUACCUACAAAUCUUCUUGUGACGGGGCUGUAGAAGAUAUAAAGGACUCACUGUUCUCUUUUUCGAGUCUGGCAGCACAAGCUGACUAAUGGUUUGACAUUUCAAUCAAUUUCCAUUCAUUCCGAAAUUGUGUAAUUGGUCUAAAUAGUGGAACAGAGGUAGGAGUAAGACUAGACGUCAGGUUGCAAGGGAUGCAUAAUUUUGUACCCGGCGUAGAGCACUCUUGGGCUUAAAUUCAUAUUGUUCAGUUCACUUUGAUGCAAUUCACGUGAUGCUUGGAAUUGACAAUACAUGUAUUGUACCGGAAAGUUGGUGUAAGUAAUCAUUAUUGAAGGUACAGAUAUAUUUAUGUGAGGCUUCGAUUAUGGUGCUCUUGUGCAACUUGUACAAGGCUGUAACUAGAUGCUCCGAAUAACUUUUGACUUUACACAACCACCGAACUAGGUAGCUAGAAAUUGUAUGGCUGCUAUCUCCUAUAGAUUUGUAUUCUAAAUUUCUAUUAACCCUCUACCAGAAUGCUC